This 250-nucleotide ribosomal RNA is filed under the name uncultured Staphylococcus sp. Its description in RNAcentral is "partial 16S ribosomal RNA". It matches the Rfam family "Bacterial small subunit ribosomal RNA", at positions 90 to 334 of the family's 1533-position model. Lineage: Bacteria; Bacillati; Bacillota; Bacilli; Caryophanales; Staphylococcaceae. The record is from RNAcentral.
CGUUAGCGGCGGACGGGUGAGUAACACGUAGGUAACCUACCCAUAAGACUGGGAUAACUUCGGGAAACCGGAGCUAAUACCGGAUAAUAUUUCGAACCGCAUGGUUCGAUAGUGAAAGAUGGCUUUGCUAUCACUUAUAGAUGGACCUGCGCCGUAUUAGCUAGUUGGUAAGGUAACGGCUUACCAAGGCAACGAUACGUAGCCGACCUGAGAGGGUGAUCGGCCACACUGGAACUGAGACACGGUCCAG